CGGCUUCAUGGAUAAUCAUUUGAGUGAUUUGGUGAGAAACGAUGAUGAGAAAGAAGAUUUGAGAAUGAGAAAAUCAUAGAGAUUUCUGAAUGGUAUCAGAGCUCUGAUAAGCUCUCACGGUUGGAGUUCUAUCAUGGCUGAUGUGAAUUCUUCUGAAUCUACAUCGAAUUCAUCGUCAUCAUCUACAUCAACAAUGAGUGCU
RNAcentral lists this long non-coding RNA (202 nucleotides) under Actinidia chinensis (golden kiwifruit). RNAcentral's name for it is "long non-coding RNA (ACHI_LNC009083)". Lineage: Eukaryota; Viridiplantae; Streptophyta; Magnoliopsida; Ericales; Actinidiaceae. The record is from RNAcentral.